UACGUAGGAGACGAGCGUUGUCCGGAAUUACUGGGCGUAAAGCGCGUGUAGGCGGAUGAGCAAGUCUGCUGUGAAAGCUCCUGGCUUAACCGGGAGUGGUCGGUGGAAACUGCUCGUCUGGAGGACGGUAGAGGUAGGUAGAAUUCCAGGUGCAGCGGUGAAAUGCGUAGAUAUCUGGAGGAAUACCGGUGGCGAAGGCGGCAUCCUGGACCGGCAUUGACGCUGAGGAGCGAAAGCCAGGGGAGCAAACGGG
Molecule: ribosomal RNA, 253 nt
Filed under: uncultured bacterium
Lineage: Bacteria
Description: partial 16S ribosomal RNA
Rfam family: Bacterial small subunit ribosomal RNA
Source: RNAcentral